AUGCCUAUAGCUCAAUUGGAUAGAGCAUCAGUUUCCGGAACUGAUGAUUCCGGUUCAACUCCGGAUAGGCAUA
RNAcentral lists this transfer RNA (73 nucleotides) under Elusimicrobiota bacterium. RNAcentral's name for it is "Elusimicrobia bacterium (gut metagenome) tRNA-Arg". It matches the Rfam family "tRNA". Rfam says of the family: Transfer RNA (tRNA) molecules are approximately 80 nucleotides in length. Lineage: Bacteria; Pseudomonadati; Elusimicrobiota. RNAcentral also lists the same sequence under 1 other name. The record is from RNAcentral.